Molecule: ribosomal RNA, 508 nt
Filed under: uncultured bacterium
Lineage: Bacteria
Description: partial 16S ribosomal RNA
Rfam family: Bacterial small subunit ribosomal RNA
Source: RNAcentral
AUUGAACGCUGGCGGCAUGCCUUACACAUGCAAGUCGAACGGCAGCGGGGGAGAAGCUUGCUUUUCCUGCCGGCGAGUGGCGAACGGGUGAGUAAUACAUCGGAACGUGCCCUGUAGUGGGGGAUAACUAGUCGAAAGAUUAGCUAAUACCGCAUACGACCUGAGGGUGAAAGUGGGGGACCGCAAGGCCUCAUGCUAUAGGAGCGGCCAAUGUCUGAUUAGCUAGUUGGUGGGGUAAAGGCCUACCAAGGCGACGAUCAGUAGCUGGUCUGAGAGGGCGAUCAGCCACACUGGGACUGAGACACGGCCCAGACUCCUACGGGAGGCAGCAGUGGGGAAUUUUGGACAAUGGGCGAAAGCCUGAUCCAGCAAUGCCGCGUGUGUGAAGAAGGCCUUCGGGUUGUAAAGCACUUUUGUCCGGAAAGAAAUGGCUCUGGUUAAUACCUGGGGUCGAUGACGGUACCGGAAGAAUAAGGACCGGCUAACUACGUGCCAGCCGCCGCCGUAA